ACGUAGGAGACAAACGUUAUCCGGAGUUACUGGGCGUAAAGGGCGUGCAGGCGGUUUCUUAAGUUCGUCGUGAAAUCGCCCGGCUUAACCGGGCGGGGUCGAUGGAUACUGGGAGACUUGAGGGCGGUAGAGGCGUGUGGAAUUCCGGGUGUAGUGGUGAAAUGCGUAGAGAUCGGGAGGAAGGCCGGUGGCGAAGGCAGCGCUCUGGAACAUUUCUGACGCUGAGGCUCGAAAGCGUGGGGAGCAAACAGGA
RNAcentral lists this ribosomal RNA (253 nucleotides) under uncultured prokaryote. RNAcentral's name for it is "partial 16S ribosomal RNA". It matches the Rfam family "Bacterial small subunit ribosomal RNA", at positions 525 to 777 of the family's 1533-position model. The record is from RNAcentral.